Molecule: non-coding RNA, 258 nt
Organism: Vicia faba (fava bean)
Lineage: Eukaryota; Viridiplantae; Streptophyta; Magnoliopsida; Fabales; Fabaceae
Source: the annotation of a GenBank genome assembly
AUGCAAAAAAUAAAUGAUUGGGAAAGGAACAUAACUUUUAUUUUAGGAUUAUGGCAUCUUGAACCAUGUAAGAGGUAUCAAUUUAUCAUUCCCUACCAUAGGGAAACUAUAUGUCUAGUCUAUACUCAUACACCAGAAGUGUUUGGAAUUCAUUCUAAGACUUUCUGUGGUUGGUUAUUAAUUUGGAUGAUUGUUUGCAUUGAAAAGUCUGAUACUUUAGUGCGUGUUUGGAUUGGUUUUUACUACUCACGGAAUUAA